Molecule: ribosomal RNA, 109 nt
Filed under: Pteropus alecto (black flying fox)
Lineage: Eukaryota; Metazoa; Chordata; Mammalia; Chiroptera; Pteropodidae
Source: RNAcentral
GUCUAUGGCUAUGCUACCCUGAACACGCCUGAUCUCGGCAGCUAAGCAGGAUCAGGCCUGAUUAGUACUUGGAUGGGAGACCACCUAGGAAGACCAGGUGCUGUAGACG